ACAAUCUGUCGACAAAGGCAAUAGGUACCUCACCGAUAGUAUAGUUAUGUUCACGAGCACGGGCGAUAAUUUCCUAAAAUAGUUAGUAUUAUGCCAUGAAAUUGACUAUUCAUCUAGAUUAGGAGAGUAAUAAGGAAGAAGUCUGUCACAAAAAUUUCUUGUUGGCUUCAAUUAGAAAACUAAAUAUCAUCAACAUACCAUUUGAAAUACAUAACCUUUGCUAGUGACCUCACUCAUAAGGGUCUCUAAUACGGGCUUCUUGUAAAGGCGGAAACUUCCAGUUACAUCUGAUACUCCAGUUCCUAAAACUGUGCUAGCAAGCAAAUUGGCACC
Molecule: non-coding RNA, 333 nt
Organism: Schizosaccharomyces pombe (fission yeast)
Lineage: Eukaryota; Fungi; Ascomycota; Schizosaccharomycetes; Schizosaccharomycetales; Schizosaccharomycetaceae
Source: the annotation of a GenBank genome assembly